GUUGAACGGGAUUUCGGGUAGCAAUAUCUGAAUGAGAGUGGCGCACGGGUGCGUAACACGUAUGCAAUCUACCUCUGACUGGGGAAUAGCCUUCCGAAAGGAAGAUUAAUACCGCAUAAUAUAAUGAAGUGGCAUCACUUUAUUAUCAAAACUCCGGUGGUUAGAGAUGAGCAUGCGCUCGAUUAGCUAGUUGGUGAGGUAACGGCUCACCAAGGCAACGAUCGAUAGGGGGUCUGAGAGGAUGAUCCCCCACACUGGUACUGAGACACGGACCAGACUCCUACGGGAGGCAGCAGUAAGGAAUAUUGGACAAUGGUGGAAACACUGAUCCAGCCAUGCCGCGUGAAGGAUUAAGGCCCUAUGGGUUGUAAACUUCUUUUAAACGGGAAAAAACCCUUCUACGUGUAGAGGGCUGAUGGUACCGUAAGAAUAAGGAUCGGCUAACUUCGUGCCAGCAGCCGCGGUAAUACGAAGGAUUCGAGCGUUAUCCGGAUUUAUUGGGUUUAAAGGGUGCGUAGGUGGACUAAUAAGUCAGUGGUGAAAGCCCGCAGCUUAACUGCGGAACUGCCAUUGAUACUGUUAGUCUUGAGUACAGUUGAGGUGGGCGUAAUGUGUCAUGUAGCGGUGAAAUGCUUAGAUAUGACACAGAACACCGAUUGCGAAGGCAGCUCACUAAGCUGUAACUGACACUGAGGCACGAAAGCGUGGGGAGCAAACAGGAUUAGAUACCCUGGUAGUCCACGCCCUAAACGAUGAUUACUCGAUGUUGGCGAUACACUGUCAGCGUCUAAGCGAAAGCAUUAAGUAAUC
Molecule: ribosomal RNA, 810 nt
Filed under: uncultured Flavobacteriia bacterium
Lineage: Bacteria; Pseudomonadati; Bacteroidota; Flavobacteriia
Description: bacterial SSU rRNA
Rfam family: Bacterial small subunit ribosomal RNA
Source: RNAcentral